RNAcentral lists this ribosomal RNA (253 nucleotides) under uncultured bacterium. RNAcentral describes it as "partial 16S ribosomal RNA". It matches the Rfam family "Bacterial small subunit ribosomal RNA", at positions 524 to 776 of the family's 1533-position model. The record is from RNAcentral.
UACGGAGGGGGCGAGCGUUAUUCGGAAUUAUUGGGCGUAAAGGGCGCGUAGGCGGCUGUACAAGUCAAAGGUGAAAUCCCUCGGCUCAACUGAGGAACUGCCUUUGAAACUGUACGGCUUGAGGCCGGGAGGGGGUAGCGGAAUUCCCAGUGUAGCGGUGAAAUGCGUAGAUACUGGGAGGAACACCAGUGGCGAAGGCGGCUACCUGGACCGGUUCUGACGCUGAUGCGCGAAAGCGUGGGUAGCAAACAGG